This 1806-nucleotide ribosomal RNA is filed under the name Triticum aestivum (bread wheat). RNAcentral's name for it is "partial small subunit ribosomal RNA". Lineage: Eukaryota; Viridiplantae; Streptophyta; Magnoliopsida; Poales; Poaceae. The record is from RNAcentral.
AUGCGACACGCUUGCUCCGCUGCCCAUGGCCGCUCGUUCCGCACCUCGCCGCGUGUACUCCUCCCCUCCUCUCCAAAAACCCCACCGAGAAAUUUCAAACUCCGCUGCAGCACCACGUCUAGCUCGCGAACCCCGAGCGAAGCGGCCAUGGCGAUGGCGGCCUCCUCCGCGCUGCAGCCCGAGCUCUGCCUCCUCCCCCACGCCGGGCCCCGCCGCCGCAUGCUCCCGCCGCGCGCUCCGCAUCUGCUUGUCCUCCCGCACCGGCGCCGCGGGGCCGUGAGGCGGUUCUCCUCCAGGGACGGCGGGGGCGGGGGCGGGGGAGGGCCCGCGGGCGCUGUGGAGAAGCGCUCCGUGGUCCCGGAGGUGGCGGCGGAGAGGAAGGGAGGAGGGGAUGCGCACGCGGAGGAGUUUGAGGAGGAGGCGGUGGACGGGGCGCUGGAGCUGCGGUGGCCGCCCUGGGAGGGGCUGCCCGAGCGCUACAGGCUCAUCGGCGCCACCUCCCUCGCCUUCGUCAUCUGCAACAUGGACAAGGUUAACUUGAGUGUUGCGAUUAUUCCAAUGUCACAUCAGUAUGGUUGGAGCUCAUCGACUGCUGGCCUAGUUCAAUCAUCAUUCUUUUGGGGCUAUGCUUUGAGUCAACUACCUGGGGGCUGGCUGGCAAAAUUGAUUGGUGGAAGGACAGUGCUUAAGGCCGGUGUUCUUGUGUGGUCUUUGGCCACAGCUGUUAUUCCUGUUGUAGCAGGAUUCAUGCCAGGACUUGUGCUAUCAAGGAUUCUGGUAGGCAUUGGAGAAGGAGUCUCACCAUCAGCAGCUACAGAUUUAAUUGCACGGACCAUUCCUCUUCAAGAAAGAUCAAGAGCGGUUUCUGUUGUUUUUGGUGGUUUAGCCUUUGGAAGUGUCUUAGGACUUCUGUUCGCCCCUCCCAUCAUUCAGAACCUUGGCUGGGAAUCUGUCUUUUACAUAUUUGGUCUUCUUGGUAUUAUAUGGUGUCUAGUGUUUGAAUCUGUACAAGAACUACAGCCAGGUGACAAUGAAGACAUAUUAAAUCUUGAAAAUAGUUCUGCUGGAUCUAAUGGUCAUGUCCCAUCAUCUGUGCCUUCAAAGUCAUCGGCCUCAUCACUUGAAGAGAUGACAGACUCGCUAAAGGAUGUGCCUUGGGGGGAAUUCUUUAAAAGCAAGGCAGUGUGGGCAAUGAUAUACACUCACUUUUGUGGAAGCUGGGGCCACUAUACUUGCUUGUCUUGGCUUCCAACAUUCUUUAGUGAGGAGCUAAACUUGAACUUGACAGACGCUGCAUGGGUGUCAAUUCUUCCUCCUUUGGGCUCGAUGGUUAUUACAUCUAUUGCAGCACCUUUUGCAGACAACUUGAUAUCAAGUGGAGUUGACACCACAAAGGUACGGAAAAUAUGUCAAGCAAUUGCGUUUCUGUCACCUGCAGCUUUUAUGAUGCUUUCCUCUGUCGAUCUUGGACUCCCUCCUUGGGUAGUUGUUGCUUUCCUUACGGGUGGUAUAUCACUCUCCAACUUCGCAUUAUCAGGUCUUUAUUGCACCCAUCAAGAUAUAUCACGUGAAUAUGCAAGCAUUCUCCUGGGAAUCACAAACACCGUAGGGGCCGUGCCUGGAAUCGUUGGUGUCGCGCUAGUCGGCUAUCUUGUCGACACAACUCAUUCUUGGAGUAUGUCGCUCUUUGCUCCUUCGAUCUUCUUCUACUUAACAGGCACUGCCGUCUGGUUGACAUUUGCCAGCAGCAAGCCCCAGGAUUUCAACAAGUUGGCAUCGGAGUCGUUAGCAGAGAGUAAUCAGUAG